UGAGGAACAUGACCUUCGGCGGGGGAUAGCCGGCCCAACGGCCGGGUAAUACCGCGUACGACCUUUCGGGGACAUCCCCGGAUGGUGAAAGCAGCAAUGCGCCGAUGGAGUGCCUCGCGGCCUAUCAGCUAGUUGGUGAGGUAACGGCUCACCAAGGCGACGACGGGUANCUGGUCUGAGGAGGAUGGCCAGCCACAGUUGGGACUGAGACCACCGGCCCAGACCUCCGUACGGGGAGG
RNAcentral lists this ribosomal RNA (239 nucleotides) under uncultured bacterium. Its description in RNAcentral is "partial 16S ribosomal RNA". It matches the Rfam family "Bacterial small subunit ribosomal RNA", at positions 118 to 347 of the family's 1533-position model. The record is from RNAcentral.